This 254-nucleotide ribosomal RNA is filed under the name uncultured bacterium. Its description in RNAcentral is "partial small subunit ribosomal RNA". It matches the Rfam family "Bacterial small subunit ribosomal RNA", at positions 26 to 285 of the family's 1533-position model. The record is from RNAcentral.
AGGACGAACGCUGGCGGCGUGCUUAACACAUGCAAGUCGAACGGAAAGGCCCUUCGGGGUACUCGAGUGGCGAACGGGUGAGUAACGCGUGAGCAACCUGCCCUUAGCUCCGGGAUAGCUCCGGGAAACCGGAAUUAAUACCGGAUACGACCACGGCCGACAUCUGCUGUGGUGGAAAGGAUUCCGGCUAAGGAUGGGCUCGCGGCCUAUCAGCUAGUUGGUGGGGUAAUGGCCCACCAAGGCGACGACGGGUA